GCAUAUCAAUAAGCGGAAAAGAAACUAACAAAGGAUUCCCCUAGUAACUGCGAGUGAAGAGGGAAAAGCUCAAAUUUAAAAUCUGGCAGCUUUGGCUGUCCGAGUUGUAAUCUGGAGAAGUGUUUUCAGUGCAGGACCGUGUACAAGUCUCUUGGAAUGGAGCAUCAUAGAGGGUGAGAAUCCCGUCUUUGACACGGACUACCUGUGCUUUGUGAUACACUCUCAAAGAGUCGAGUUGUUUGGGAAUGCAGCUCAAAAUGGGUGGUAAAUUCCAUCUAAAGCUAAAUAUUGGCGAGAGACCGAUAGCGAACAAGUACCGUGAGGGAAAGAUGAAAAGCACUUUGGAAAGAGAGUUAAACAGUACGUGAAAUUGUUGAAAGGGAAACGCUUGGAGUCAGUCGCGUUUGUUAGAACUCAGCUUGGCUUCUGCUUAGUGUACUUUCUAAUGAACGGGCCAACAUCGAUUUCAGUCAGUGGAUAAGGGUAAGAGGAAUGUGGCACCUUCGGGUGUGUUAUAGCCUCUUAUCGUAUACAUUUACUGGGAUCGAGGUCUGCAGCACUUGUGCUUAGGAUGUUGGCAUAAUGGCUUUAAUCGACCCGUCUUGAAACACGGACCAAGGAGUCUAACAUGCCCGCGAGUGUUAGGGUGGUAAACCCUUGCGCGUAAUGAAAGUGAAAGUUGGGACCUCUGUCAUGGGGGGCACCGACGCCCGGUCCAGAACUUCUGUGACGGUACUGCGGUAGAGCGUGUAUGUUGGGACCCGAAAGAUGGUGAACUAUGCCUGAAUAGGGUGAAGCCAGAGGAAACUCUGGUGGAGGCUCGUAGCGAUUCUGACGUGCAAAUCGAUCGUCAAAUUUGGGGUAUAGGGGGCGAAAGACUAAUCGMAACCCAUCUAGUAGCUGGUUCCUGCCGAA
Molecule: ribosomal RNA, 915 nt
Filed under: Resinicium bicolor
Lineage: Eukaryota; Fungi; Basidiomycota; Agaricomycetes; Hymenochaetales
Description: LSU rRNA
Rfam family: Eukaryotic large subunit ribosomal RNA
Source: RNAcentral